RNAcentral lists this long non-coding RNA (1935 nucleotides) under Setaria italica (foxtail millet). RNAcentral describes it as "long non-coding RNA (SITA_LNC005327)". The record is from RNAcentral. Lineage: Eukaryota; Viridiplantae; Streptophyta; Magnoliopsida; Poales; Poaceae.
AGCCUUCAAAUAUUUGAUGUCACGUGAAUUUUAGUCCGAACUAAAAUACAAACACCCCUAACCAUUCUCCCCUGCGCCUCGCGUGCCCUAUCACCUGGACACCUCUGCAGCUUCGAGUGAUAUUCCCUGCUUCCCUUUCUUCUUCCUCGAAUAAUCCUGCCGCACGGCAUAUCCUCCGUUUAUCCUCUACGGUGCCGGACGAACCGUACUACUGGCGCAUCUGCUUCUGCUGCAGCUUUGUUCUGGCCUUUCGAGCUCUCUUGGUUCGCAAGCGACCCGGUAGAAGAAUCCGCACGAGAGGUUGGCAGAGGGAGAAGAUUGUUCAUCCCCUCCUUGGAAGCUUCGUGCGCCAAUCGAUCGGUACGCGAAUCUGACUGUUGCGCGUGCUGCGUUUUGUGGGGGUGGUGGUUGUUGCUUCAGUGCUUUGCUUGUGUUGCCGUUCCGCGUUUCCAAAGGCUGAUACGUCCUUGCUCGUAUUGGAGUCUCUUUUCAGUCCUAUAUAGUGUGCAGAGAAUAUGAUGCUUAGCUGAGCAACUUUAUAGGCUCCAAUCCGCUAUCGGCACACGUAUUGAACUGAGCCACCCCAACUCCUAGCUUUGGCACUAUGCAAAAAAGAUUCCCCAUCACAUCAAACUUGCGGUACAUGCAUGGAGUACUAAAUGUAGAUAAAAUUAAAAACUAAUUGCACAAUUUUGUUGUACUUUGCGAGACGAAUCUUUUGAGCCUAAUUAGUCAAUGUUUGGACAAUAAUUCACAAAUACAAACGAAACGCUAUAGUGUGCUACAGUGCUGGUACAGUAAUUUUAGCACUCCAAAUUUUGGCAACUAAAAAAACCUGAUACGUUCUCUCAAACUGUUUCAGCCAUGCGAUUUACCAAGGAAUUGACGUUCAAAAACCCUUCCCCUUUUGUCCAGGAGAAGCUUGCCAUUUGCCCGGGUGUUGACGUAUUGUGCAAGUACCUGCAGUAGUCAGUAGUGGCCGAGCCAUCUCCGAGUCCGCAGGCGCGUCAUAUCAAAAGGCGAGUGGUGCUUCCUGUUCGCUUCAGCUUAUAAGUCGGCUGAAAAGCUGAAACGGCUGAUUUGUUGUGAGAGAAAAAUAUUGUUUGGUGGCUGAUAAGCCUGCUGAAUAAGCUGAAGCGAACAUGCCGUUGUUUUGGGCUGUUCUACUUUCCUGCCUUUCUGUUCGAAGCGAUCGAGCACCGUUUUGAUAUUUUUAGCAGCGCCGGGACAACAAUGCCACUACGGAUCGGAGGUAUUCCAAAAGCCCAGUGCUCAGACACAGAUUUUCACGGCUCUAGCAAUUAGCAGGCACAGCAAAACCAGAUGCUUACUAUAAGAAUUAACACACUGGAACGCCAGGGACAAAUUCAGACAGAUCGAGAAUUACACAGUAUCGUCAUUGUAUGAGUUAUACACAUUAUUACAGUCCAAGUAGCACAAUGUUCUAAGUCAAGCGAGGGCUCGAUGGCCAAAGAGGCAAAGACACACGCACAUACACAUAUAAAAAAGAACAGAAAGACAUAAAAGCACGCGUACAUGCAUGCAACAUAGAGAUUUCAGGUUUGUAUUUGCAGACAUGCUAAGUACAUUACGUACCGCUAACAGCAGAAGCAGAUUUAGGUAGACAACUCAGCUAACAAAUGGCCCCAUGAUGGUGCGAAUUUUGAUGGAGCACGGACUAAGUUAUCGUCACCUCACCUCACCUCACCUAGCAUAAUACUGACUUCCUGGGUUCAUGGGAAGGAUCUCACCUUCCUGUGUUGGGUACCCACUAGUAUAAUCUUCUAUUGUUUCAAAGUUGGCAGGUGGUGUUCCCCCAAGAAGGCUUUGACUACUCUCCCUCUCUGCUUCGAGCUGUGCCCAAGGAUGCAGAGAAAGCUUCCUCAGUCUGCCAAGCUCGUCGGCGACCUCUUUCAUGGACGGUCUGUUAGUGCC